This is a regulatory RNA element of 93 nucleotides. It matches the Rfam family "Dianthovirus RNA2 cap-independent translation element". The record is from Rfam.
AAAAGAGAAAGAGAAUUGCUUUGGCUUCGGCGGAAGACGAAAAGGUUUAAAUACAGGCUACGAGUUCUCCUCGUAGGGUCUCUCUUUCUUGGC